This 253-nucleotide ribosomal RNA is filed under the name uncultured bacterium. RNAcentral's name for it is "partial 16S ribosomal RNA". It matches the Rfam family "Bacterial small subunit ribosomal RNA", at positions 524 to 776 of the family's 1533-position model. The record is from RNAcentral.
UACAGAGGGGGCAAGCGUUGUUCGGAAUUACUGGGCGUAAAGGGCGCGUAGGCGGCCUUCUAAGUCAUGCGUGAAAUCCCCGGGCUCAACCCGGGAACUGCGUCUGAUACUGGAAGGCUUGAAUCCGGGAGAGGGAUGCGGAAUUCCAGGUGUAGCGGUGAAAUGCGCAGAUAUCAGGAGGAACACCAAUGGCGAAGGCAGCUCGCUGGGACGUGACUGACGCUGAGACGCGAAAGCGUGGGGAGCAAACAGG